Molecule: ribosomal RNA, 461 nt
Filed under: uncultured bacterium
Lineage: Bacteria
Description: partial 16S ribosomal RNA
Rfam family: Bacterial small subunit ribosomal RNA
Source: RNAcentral
CCUACGGGUGGCAGCAGUGAGGAAUAUUGGUCAAUGGGCGCAAGCCUGAACCAGCCAAGUCGCGUGAGGGAAGACGGUCCUAUGGAUUGUAAACCUCUUUUGUCGGGGAGCAAAGCGCGGUACGAGUGCCGUGAAGGAGAGUACCCGAAGAAAAAGCAUCGGCUAACUCCGUGCCAGCAGCCGCGGUAAUACGGAGGGGGCAAGCGUUAUCCGGAUUUACUGGGUGUAAAGGGGGCGCAGACGGCAAUGCAAGCCAGGAGUGAAAGCCGGGGGCCCAACCCCGGGACUGCUCUUGAAACUGGAUGGCUGGAGUACAGGAGAGGUAGGCGGAAUGCGUGGUGUAGCGGUGAAAUGCGUAGAUAUUAGGAGGAACCCCGGUGGCGAAGGCGGCCUGCUGGCCUGUGACUGACGUUGAGGCCCGAAGGCGUGGGGAGCGAACAGGAUUAGAUACCCUUGUAGUC